RNAcentral lists this unclassified non-coding RNA (237 nucleotides) under Volvox rousseletii. RNAcentral describes it as "ITS2". Lineage: Eukaryota; Viridiplantae; Chlorophyta; Chlorophyceae; Chlamydomonadales; Volvocaceae. The record is from RNAcentral.
AAAACUCAUCGCAACCAUCCAUGUGGUGGUUGUACGGUGGAACUGGCUGUCCUGCCGACCCUCGUACAUGUACAGGAGAAGCGGGUCAGCUGAAGCGAAGCUGUUGCUGAUGGACCCUGCUAUGGGCCUCUACUGGGUAGGCAACUCGUUUGCUGUAAUGCUUUAGUAGGUGGCUUUGGGACUGUGAGCAGCACAAACCAGGAAUGCUCUUCAUUGAGCAUAAACCCUCCUUUUCUC